UUGGAGGGCAAGUCUGGUGCCAGCAGCCGCGGUAAUUCCAGCUCCAAUAGCGUAUAUUAAAGUUGUUGCAGUUAAAAAGCUCGUAGUUGAACUUCAGACCUGGCUGGGCGGUCCGCUUAACGGCGUGUACUGUCUGGCUGGGUCUUACCUCUUGGUGAGCCGGCGUGCCCUUUAUUGGUGUGCGUCGGGGAACCAGGACUUUUACCUUGAGAAAAUUAGAGUGUUCAAAGCAGGCCUAUGCCUGAAUACAUUAGCAUGGAAUAAUAAAAUAGGACGUGCGGUUCUAUUUUGUUGGUUUCUAGAGUCGCCGUAAUGAUUAAUAGGGAUAGUUGGGGGCAUUGGUAUUGUGUCGCUAGAGGUGAAAUUCUUGGAUUGACACAAGACCAACUACUGCGAAAGCAUUUGCCAAGGAUGCUUUCAUUAAUCAAGAACGAAGGUUAGGGGAUCGAAAACGAUCAGAUACCGUUGUAGUCUUAACAGUAAACUAUGCCGACUAGGGAUCGGACGACCUCAAUUUUGAUGCGUCGUUCGGCGCCUUACGGGAAAC
This 547-nucleotide ribosomal RNA is filed under the name uncultured Basidiomycota. RNAcentral's name for it is "SSU rRNA". It matches the Rfam family "Eukaryotic small subunit ribosomal RNA", at positions 548 to 1098 of the family's 1831-position model. Lineage: Eukaryota; Fungi; Basidiomycota. The record is from RNAcentral.